UGGGGAAUAUUGCACAAUGGAGGGAACUCUGAUGCAGCGACGCCGCGUGAGUGAUGAAGGACUUCGUUUCGUAAAACUCUGUUCUAUGGGAAGAAAAGGACUGUACCAUAGGAGAAAGCUCCGGCUAAAUACGUGCCAGCAGCCGCGGUAAUACGUAUGGAGCGAGCGUUGUCCGGAAUUAUUGGGCGUAAAGGGUGCGCAGGCGGCUUUACAAGUUGGAUGUGAAAUAUUGUGGCUCAACCACAAACGUGCAUCCAAAACUGCAAAGCUUGAGUUAAGGAGAGGUAAGUGGAAUUCCUGGUGUAGCGGUGGAAUGCGUAGAUAUCAGGAGGAAUACCGGUGGCGAAGGCGACCUACUGGACUUAAACUGACGCUCAGGCACGAAAGCGUGGGGAGCAAACAGG
Molecule: ribosomal RNA, 404 nt
Filed under: Fusobacteriota bacterium
Lineage: Bacteria; Fusobacteriati; Fusobacteriota
Description: Fusobacteria bacterium partial 16S ribosomal RNA
Rfam family: Bacterial small subunit ribosomal RNA
Source: RNAcentral